RNAcentral lists this long non-coding RNA (815 nucleotides) under Lynx pardinus (Iberian lynx). Lineage: Eukaryota; Metazoa; Chordata; Mammalia; Carnivora; Felidae. The record is from RNAcentral.
GCCAGGGAUUGGAAGGUGUAACAAGAAGAAACUGCUUAAUGGGUAAGAGGUUUGACUUUAAAGUUGUGGCAAUGUUCUGGAACUAGAUCGAGGCAGGUACUAAAUGCCACUGAAUUGUUCACUUUAAAAUGGUUGAUUUUAUGUGAUAGGAAUUUCACCUGAAUGAAUUAUUUUUAAAAAAUCACGAGAAGACCAAAGCCAUUCUUUAAUGGACAAAGGAACAAUCCAGCAGGAAUAAAGAGCACACUCUCUAGAGGAGGUGGGCACCUCUUCUCGUUUGUAAGGUAAGGAUGACAGUAGUCUCUAACUCACAGGGGCUGGUGGGUAAGUAGAUGAGGUAGUCCAUGCAAAGAACUUAGAACAGGUCCAUGCACACAGUGAAUGCUCCAUGUAUGUUUUCCAUCACCAUUAUUAUUAAUUCUUGCCCAAGAACCCACUAGAAAGCUUCCUCAAAAAGUCCUAACACAAGCCACUGUCUCCUUCAUUCCUAUUAAGAUGACAAAAAAUAAACUAUGGACUCCACAGCUGAAGACACUCACAGGUCUUGGUGCCCAACCCAGCUUCUUUCAAAAUGCUGUUCAUGAAAUUCGCUGCAAGCUCAGCUUUGACGGUGAUCAUUCCACGCUCUCAAGUGCAUACAGGUUGGUCAAAGUGAACACCAGUUUUGAUGCUGUGAUGCUCUGAAGAUUGAAAUGGCCGUCAAGACCAAAGGUGUGGAUGAGAUCACCAUUGUCAACAUUUUGACCAGCUGCAGCAGUUAACAGAGAAAGGAUACUACCUUCACCUACCAGAGAAGGACCAAAAAAGAAACUUGC